UACGUAGGCAGCGAGCGUUGUUCGGAAUUACUGGGCGUAAAGAGUGUGUAGGUGGUGCUCUAAGUUCGGUGUGAAAUCUCCCGGCUUAGCUGGGAGGGUGCGGCGGAAACUGGAGUGCUAGAGGGUGGGAGAGGAAAGCGGAAUUCCUGGUGUAGCGGUGAAAUGCGUAGAUAUCAGGAGGAACACCUGCGGUGUAGACAGCUUUCUGGACCACUUCUGACGCUGAGACACGAAAGCGUGGGUAGCAAACAGG
This 253-nucleotide ribosomal RNA is filed under the name uncultured bacterium. RNAcentral's name for it is "partial 16S ribosomal RNA". It matches the Rfam family "Bacterial small subunit ribosomal RNA", at positions 524 to 776 of the family's 1533-position model. The record is from RNAcentral.